GACGAACGCUGGCGGCGUGCCUAAUACAUGCAAGUCGUGCGGACCUUGUUGAAAGCUUGCUUUUAAAAGGUUAGCGGCGGACGGGUGAGUAACACGUGGGCAACCUGCCUGUAAGACUGGGAUAACGCCGGGAAACCGGGGCUAAUACCAGAUCGUUUUUUCCUCCGCAUGGAGGAAAAAGGAAAGGCGGCUUCGGCUGCCACUUACAGAUGGGCCCGCGGCGCAUUAGCUAGUUGGCGGGGUAAUGGCCCACCAAGGCAACGAUGCGUAGCCGACCUGAGAGGGUGAUCGGCCACAUUGGGACUGAGACACGGCCCAAACUCCUACGGGAGGCAGCAGUAGGGAAUCUUCCGCAAUGGACGAAAGUCUGACGGAGCAACGCCGCGUGAGUGAAGAAGGCCUUCGGGUCGUAAAACUCUGUUGCCGGGGAAGAGCAAGUGCCGUUCGAACAGGGCGGCGCCUUGACGGUACCCGGCCAGAAAGCCACGGCUAACUACGUG
This 500-nucleotide ribosomal RNA is filed under the name uncultured bacterium. Its description in RNAcentral is "partial 16S ribosomal RNA". It matches the Rfam family "Bacterial small subunit ribosomal RNA", at positions 28 to 507 of the family's 1533-position model. The record is from RNAcentral.